This 1522-nucleotide ribosomal RNA is filed under the name Vogesella oryzae. RNAcentral describes it as "bacterial SSU rRNA". It matches the Rfam family "Bacterial small subunit ribosomal RNA". The record is from RNAcentral. Lineage: Bacteria; Pseudomonadati; Pseudomonadota; Betaproteobacteria; Neisseriales; Chromobacteriaceae.
GGGGGACAAAAGAAUCGCCUAUAUAGUGUGCGCCUGUCUCAAAAAGAGUGAUAGCACCGCACACAAAUGUUGAGCGCGUGAGUAAAGCGCCCGACGCACCGAGUAAUGUGGGAUAACGCACCGAAAGUUGUGCUAUUACCGCAUACACUCUGAGGAGGAAAGCGGGGGACCUUCUGGCCUCGCGUUAUUCUAGCGGGCGACAUCUGAUUAUCUAUUAGGUGAGGUAAAAGCUCACCUAUGCGACAAUCACUAUCGGGUCUGAGAGGAUGAUCCCCCCCACUGGGACUGAGACACGGCCCACACUCCUACGGGAGGCAGCAGUGGGGAAUUUUGGACAAUGGGCGCACGCCUGAUCCACCCAUGCCGCGUGUCUGAAAAAAGCCUUCGGGUUGUAAAGGACUUUUGGUCACAGGGGAAGGAGAAUCUCCUCACGGCUAAUACCCUUUGCGGAUGACAGGUACCUGAGAAAUAAACACCGGCUUAACUACAUGCCACCAGCCGCGCUAAUACAUAAGGGUUGCAAAGGCGUUAAAUCCGCAAUAACUGGGGCGUAAAGCGUGCGGCACGCGGGUAGAUAAACGCAGAUGUGAAAUUCCCCGAGCUCAACUGGUGAACUGCGUUUGGAACUGUGUAAACUAGAGUGCGUCACAGAGGGGGUGGAAUUCCCCGUGUAGCAGUGAAAUGCGUAGAGAUGCGCAGAAAACACCGAUGGCGAAGGCAGCCCCCCUGGGAUGACACUGACACUCAUGCACGAAAGCGUGGGGAGCAAACACGAUUAGAUACCCUGUGUAGUACCACGCCCCUAAACGAUGUCAACUAGCUGUUGGUGGGUUAGAAUCCCUUGGUAGCGCAGCUAACGCGUGAAGAUUGACCCCCCUGGGGAGUACGGCCGCACAGGUUAAAACUCAAAGGAAUUUGACGGCGGGGCCCGCAGCCAAGCGCUGGAAUGAUGUGGAUUAUAUUCGAUGGCAACGCCGCAAGAAACCUUUAUCCUGCUCCUUGACAUGUAUCGGAACAUCGUCCAGAGAAUAGCCUGGUGCCCGAAAGAGAACACGUUAACACAGGUGCUGCACUAGCUGUCGUUCACGACGUCCUUGUCCUGGAGAUAGUUGGAUUAUCAGUCCCGCAACGAGCGCAACCCUUGUCAUUAGUUGCCAUCAUUAAGUUGGGCACUCUAAUGAGACUGCCGGUGACAAACCGGAGGAAGGUGGGGAUGACGUCAAGUCCUCAUGGCCCUUAUGAGCAGGGCUUCACACGUCAUACAAUGGUCGGUACAGAGGGUUGCCAAACCGCGAGGUGGAGCUAAUCUCUUAAAGCCGAUCGUAGUCCGGAUUGGAGUCUGCAACUCGACUCCAUGAAGUCGGAAUCGCUAGUAAUCGCAGGUCAGCAUACUGCGGUGAAUACGUUCCCGGGCCUUGUACACACCGCCCGUCACACCAUGGGAGUGGAAUCCGCCAGAAGUGGGUAUGAGUAUUCCUGUACAGGAGCCGGCUUACCCAUGAGUAUGCUGCAUGUUCAAGGU